This 441-nucleotide ribosomal RNA is filed under the name Astragalus danicus. RNAcentral's name for it is "eukaryotic LSU rRNA". The stretch from base 301 to 441 matches the Rfam family "Eukaryotic large subunit ribosomal RNA", at positions 1 to 141 of the family's 3401-position model. Lineage: Eukaryota; Viridiplantae; Streptophyta; Magnoliopsida; Fabales; Fabaceae. The record is from RNAcentral.
UGCAGAAUCCCGUGAACCAUCGAGUCUUUGAACGCAAGUUGCGCCCGAAGCCAUCAGGUUGAGGGCACGUCUGCCUGGGCGUCACAUAUCGUUGCCCGAUGCCUAUUGCAGUGCAAUAGGAAUUUCUAGGGCGAAUGAUGGCUUCCCGUGAGCGUUGUUGCCUCGCGGUUGGUUGAAAAUUGAGUCCUUGGUAGGGUGUGCCAUGAUAGAUGGUGGUCGAGUUAGCACGAUACCGAUCAUGUGCAUGCCCCCCAAAAUAUGGCCUCUAUGACCCACACGCGUCUUUUGACGCUCAUGACGAGACCUCAGGUCAGGCGGGGCUACCCGCUGAAUUUAAGCAUAUCAAUAAGCGGAGGAAAAGAAACUAACAAGGAUUCCCUUAGUAACGGCGAGCGAACCGGGAAGAGCCCACCAUGAGAAUCGGCCGCCCUCGGCGUUCGA